UACGAGUGCCCCGAGCGUUAUCCGGAAUCAUUGGGCGUAAAGGGUGUGUAGGUGGUCUUGUUAGUCUUCUGUCAAAUUCUUCGGCUUAACCGGGGGUCCGCAGGGGAAACGGCAAGACUCGAGGAUGCGAGGGGUGAAUGGAACUCAUAGUGGAGGGGUGAAAUCCGUUGAUAUUAUGGGGAACACCAAAAGCGAAGGCAAUUCACUGGCGCACUUCCUGACACUGAAACACGAAAGCGUGGGUAGCGAAUGGG
This 254-nucleotide ribosomal RNA is filed under the name uncultured bacterium. RNAcentral describes it as "partial 16S ribosomal RNA". It matches the Rfam family "Bacterial small subunit ribosomal RNA", at positions 524 to 776 of the family's 1533-position model. The record is from RNAcentral.